GUGUCAGCAGCCGCGGUAAUACGUAGGGGGCAAGCGUUGCUCGGAAUUACUGGGCGUAAAGGGAGUGCAGGCGGCCGGUUAAGUCAAAGAUGAAAUCCCGAGGCUCAACUUCGGAACGGUCUUUGAUACUGAUCGGCUUGAGGCUGGUUGAGGCGAGCAGAAUUCCCGGUGGAGCGGUGAAAUGCGUAGAUAUCGGGAGGAAUACCAGAGGCGAAGGCGGCUCGCUAAACUAGUCCUGACGCUGAGACUCGAAAGCUAGGGGAGCAAACGGGAUUAGAUACCCCAGUAGUCC
This 292-nucleotide ribosomal RNA is filed under the name uncultured bacterium. RNAcentral describes it as "partial 16S ribosomal RNA". It matches the Rfam family "Bacterial small subunit ribosomal RNA", at positions 505 to 796 of the family's 1533-position model. The record is from RNAcentral.